Molecule: unclassified non-coding RNA, 148 nt
Filed under: Brucella sp. 191011898
Lineage: Bacteria; Pseudomonadati; Pseudomonadota; Alphaproteobacteria; Hyphomicrobiales; Brucellaceae
Description: BASRCI153
Source: RNAcentral
ACAUUUUCGAGCCAAAAGCGUGAAACGGUUUCGCGUUGGAAAAUGUGACAAAACAAAGAGUUAGAGCGGUUCCAAUGAUUCCGUUUUAAACGGAACCGCUCUAGACGAAAGGGAAAACAAUACACGUGUGUAACUGUAUGAGGCUGCG